UGGCCUCAAAUCGGGU
Molecule: ribosomal RNA, 16 nt
Filed under: Lactarius brachycystidiatus
Lineage: Eukaryota; Fungi; Basidiomycota; Agaricomycetes; Russulales; Russulaceae
Also listed under: 1 other name
Description: partial 28S ribosomal RNA
Source: RNAcentral